Molecule: ribosomal RNA, 335 nt
Filed under: uncultured bacterium
Lineage: Bacteria
Description: bacterial SSU rRNA
Rfam family: Bacterial small subunit ribosomal RNA
Source: RNAcentral
CGCGUAGGCGGACAUGUAAGUUGUGGGUGAAAUCCCGAGGCUUAACCUCGGAGCUGCCUGCAAAAACUGCAUGUCUUGAGGUUUGGAGAGGGAAGUGGAAUUCCAGGUGUAGCGGUGAAAUGCGUAGAUAUCUGGAGGAACACCCGUGGCGAAGGCGGCUUCCUGGCCAUAUCCUGACGCUGAGGUGCGAAAGCUAGGGGAGCGAACGGGAUUAGAUACCCCGGUAGUCCCUAGGCCGUAAACGAUGGAUACUAGGUGUUAGAGGUAUCGACCCCUCUAGUGCCGGAGCUAACGCAUUAAGUAUCCCGCCUGGGGAGUACGACCGCAAGGUUGAA